This 90-nucleotide transfer RNA is filed under the name Candidatus Omnitrophota bacterium. RNAcentral describes it as "tRNA-Ser". It matches the Rfam family "tRNA". From Rfam's summary of the family: Transfer RNA (tRNA) molecules are approximately 80 nucleotides in length. Their secondary structure includes four short double-helical elements and three loops (D, anti-codon, and T loops). Further hydrogen bonds mediate the characteristic L-shaped molecular structure. tRNAs have two regions of fundamental functional importance: the anti-codon, which is responsible for specific mRNA codon recognition, and the 3' end, to which the tRNAs corresponding amino acid is attached (by aminoacyl-tRNA synthetases). tRNAs cope with the degeneracy of the genetic code in two manners: having more than one tRNA (with a specific anti-codon) for a particular amino acid; and 'wobble' base-pairing, i.e. permitting non-standard base-pairing at the 3rd anti-codon position. The record is from RNAcentral. Lineage: Bacteria; Pseudomonadati; Candidatus Omnitrophota.
GGAAAGGUGCGAGAGCGGACGAAUCGGCACGCCUGGAGAGCGUGUGUAGUCGUAAGGCUACCGAGGGUUCGAAUCCCUCCCUUUCCGCCA